UGGGGUAUAGCUCAGUGGCAGAGCGCAUGUUUAGCAUGCAUGAGCUCUUGAGUUUAAUCCCCAGGACCUCCA
Molecule: transfer RNA, 72 nt
Filed under: Camelus bactrianus (Bactrian camel)
Lineage: Eukaryota; Metazoa; Chordata; Mammalia; Artiodactyla; Camelidae
Also listed under: 3 other names
Rfam family: tRNA
About the family: Transfer RNA (tRNA) molecules are approximately 80 nucleotides in length. Their secondary structure includes four short double-helical elements and three loops (D, anti-codon, and T loops). Further hydrogen bonds mediate the characteristic L-shaped molecular structure. tRNAs have two regions of fundamental functional importance: the anti-codon, which is responsible for specific mRNA codon recognition, and the 3' end, to which the tRNAs corresponding amino acid is attached (by aminoacyl-tRNA synthetases). tRNAs cope with the degeneracy of the genetic code in two manners: having more than one tRNA (with a specific anti-codon) for a particular amino acid; and 'wobble' base-pairing, i.e. permitting non-standard base-pairing at the 3rd anti-codon position.
Source: Rfam by way of RNAcentral